This 465-nucleotide ribosomal RNA is filed under the name uncultured bacterium. RNAcentral's name for it is "partial 16S ribosomal RNA". It matches the Rfam family "Bacterial small subunit ribosomal RNA", at positions 339 to 795 of the family's 1533-position model. The record is from RNAcentral.
CUACGGGACGCUGCAGUGAGGAAUUUUGCACAAUGGGGGAAACCCUGACGCGGCAACGCCGCGUGAGUGAUGAAGGCCUUCGGGUCGUAAAGCUCUGUCAAGUGGGAAGAACCCACCCCUUGCUAAUAUCAUGGGGUGCUGACGGUACCACUGAAGGAAGCACCGGCUAACUCCGUGCCAGCAGCCGCGGUAAUACGGAGGGUGCAAGCGUUAUUCGGAAUUACUGGGCGUAAAGGGCGCGUAGGCGGCUUCUUAAGUCGGAUGUGAAAUCCAGGGGCUCAACCCCGGAAGUGCAUCUGAAACUAAGAAGCUUGAGUAUGGGAGAGGGAAGUGGAAUUCCUGGUGUAGAGGUGAAAUUCGUAGAUAUCAGGAGGAACACCGGUGGCGAAGGCGACUUCCUGGACCAAUACUGACGCUGAGGCGCGAAGGCGUGGGGAGCAAACAGGAUUAGAUACCCUUGUAGUC